RNAcentral lists this ribosomal RNA (463 nucleotides) under Haptophyta environmental samples. RNAcentral's name for it is "SSU rRNA". It matches the Rfam family "Eukaryotic small subunit ribosomal RNA", at positions 432 to 900 of the family's 1831-position model. Lineage: Eukaryota; Haptophyta. The record is from RNAcentral.
GCGCGUAAAUUGCCCGAAUCCUGACACAGGGAGGUAGUGACAAGAAAUAACAAUACAGGGCUCUCUGAGUCUUGUAAUUGGAAUGAGUACAAUUUACAUCUCUUCACGAGGAUCAAUUGGAGGGCAAGUCUGGUGCCAGCAGCCGCGGUAACUCCAGCUCCAAUAGCGUAUAUUAAAGUUGUUGCAGUUAAAACGCUCGUAGUCGGAUUUCGGGGCGGGGCCGCCGGUCUGCCGAUAGGUAUGCACUGGCGGGCGCGUCCUUUUUCCCGGAGACGGCUGCUACUCUUAACUGAGCGGUGGUCGGAGACGGGAUGUUUACUUUGAAAAAAUCAGAGUGUUUCAAGCAGGCAGUCGCUCUUGCAUGGAUUAGCAUGGGAUAAUGAAAUAGGACUCUGGUGCUAUUUUGUUGGUUUCGAGCACCGGAGUAAUGAUUAACAGGGACAGUCAGGGGCACUCGUAUUCC